UCUGGGAUAAGCGCUGGAAACGGUGUCUAAUACCGGAUAGGACCUGGAACCGCAUGGUUUUGGGUGGAAAGUUUUUCGGUCUGGGAUGGACUCGCGGCCUAUCAGCUUGUUGGUGAGGUAAUGGCUCACCAAGGCGUCGACGGGUAGCCGGCCUGAGAGGGUGACCGGCCACACUGGGACUGAGACACGGCCCAGACUCCUACGGGAGGCAGCAGUGGGGAAUAUUGCACAAUGGGCGAAAGCCUGAUGCAGCAACGCCGCGUGAGGGAUGACGGCCUUCGGGUUGUAAACCUCUUUUAGUAAGGAAGAAGGGAAGCUUGCUUCUUGACGGUACUUGCAGAAAAAGCACCGGCUAACUACGUGCCAGCAGCCGCGGUAAUACGUAGGGUGCGAGCGUUGUCCGGAAUUAUUGGGCGUAAAGAGCUCGUAGGCGGUUUGUCACGUCUGCUGUGAAAUCCCGAGGCUCAACCUCGGGUCUGCAGUGGGUACGGGCAGACUGGAGUGCGGUAGGGGAGAAUGGAAUUCCUGGUGUAGCGGUGGAAUGCGCAGAUAUCAGGAGGAACACCGAUGGCGAAGGCAGUUCUCUGGGCCGUAACUGACGCUGAGGAGCGAAAGCGUGGGGAGCGAACAGGAUUAGAUACCCUGGUAGUCCACGCCGUAAACGUUGGGCGCUAGAUGUGGGGACCUUUCCACGGUUUCCGUGUCGUAGCUAACGCAUUAAGCGCCCCGCCUGG
This 734-nucleotide ribosomal RNA is filed under the name Agromyces sp. RNAcentral describes it as "bacterial SSU rRNA". It matches the Rfam family "Bacterial small subunit ribosomal RNA", at positions 137 to 876 of the family's 1533-position model. The record is from RNAcentral. Lineage: Bacteria; Bacillati; Actinomycetota; Actinomycetes; Micrococcales; Microbacteriaceae.